GACCUCCCCUCCACAGCAGGGCAGAGGCUGAGGCUGCUCCCCCAGGAUUAGGCUGGGGCCAGGGACAGUCUCUGAAAUGAAGCCACCAGAAGAAGCCAUGCCAAGCAUAGAAAAGGAGCUGCGAUUGACACAUGGCCUUUUAAACCUGGUGUUGGUGCUCUGGAUGGCCCUGGUGCGACAGCUCGACUUCCCACCACCAGUGUAUACAUAGGAAGGGAGAGUCCCAGGCCAACUUGCUCUAAGACCGUGACUUGCUCCAAAGCUCUGUAGGUAACACUUGGAAAGUACCCUGUGGGAUAGGCUGCUUCAAACACCUGUCUUUGCAUUACCACAUCUGAAAGAGCAUCGUGCAGGUAACAGGGCACCUCAGCUGUAACCUGCUCGAGGCACUUUUCACAGAUGAGGGAAUUUGCAGUAACUCUAACAGAGUUCUCAGAAAGUUGGGAGUGGCAGACCUGGAGGAAAAACAGGCCUGGCGGGUCAGUGGGGUCAUGGGCGUUUAGAUGUGGGGUGGAGGUCUCUUUCCUUCCUUCGGUCUCCUUUCUACCUAUCUUUACUCUAUCACACCUCAAUAAAAGGGAGAGCAGAACAGCCAGGGCUGAGCAGAGGUGAUGGGGCCGAGGAUGAGAGAGGAACAGUGUGCUGUGAAGACAGGAGGGACCAAGCCCUGGCUGUCCGCGUGCGGCAAGCUGGGAAAAGUGGGGGCGAGUCCCUCCUCGGAACUCCAGAAGGAGCUGAGCUCUCUGAUCUGACCCAGAUGGAACUGAAUCCAAGCUUCUGACCUCCAGGCUGCAAGAGAUCAAGCUGGUGCUAUUUUUGACCACCAGGUCAGUGGAGGUGAUUUGUUAUAGCAGCAACAGGAAGCCCAUACACAGUUGAAGCCCAGCAUAUUUCAGCAGCUGGCCCAAUGCCAGAAACACUUAUUCAUAAACUAUUUCAAAAAAUGCAUUGCUAAAAACAUCAGAGACACUACAGCAGUUUUUGGCUGAGCAUAUGAAUAUCAAAGGCCAUUUGCCGUUCGGAGAGACAUAUCUGAAGCCCGCUCUUACUGGUGGUCUACCGCUUUGCUUUUUUUUCCUAAAGGAAAAGCCAGUGAGACAAGAAAAGUGCCCUUCAAGGAAAGUGCUUGUUCAGCAGUGCACCCAGGAAGCUCUGCUUUGUGUCUGUCCUGGCUCCAACUCGCCAAGGAAGAACAGAAGAUGGUGUCCCCAAGCGACAUCUGCUGCUGUCCUUGGUGGCCGCUGGCACUGCACUCCAGAUUCCUCUCUGGUUUCUUUCCCUAAUUCUUGGAAAAAUGUAACUGAUUCGUCAUAGGGAAUUUGGUUUUGUUUUCAUUACACCAACACAGUUUUCAGGGGAAAGGUGGAAUAAAGCAAAAAUUUGCAGUC
Molecule: non-coding RNA, 1388 nt
Organism: Ictidomys tridecemlineatus (thirteen-lined ground squirrel)
Lineage: Eukaryota; Metazoa; Chordata; Mammalia; Rodentia; Sciuridae
Source: RefSeq, a predicted model, not a curated record